This 351-nucleotide long non-coding RNA is filed under the name Sorghum bicolor (sorghum). Its description in RNAcentral is "long non-coding RNA (SBIC_LNC008834)". The record is from RNAcentral. Lineage: Eukaryota; Viridiplantae; Streptophyta; Magnoliopsida; Poales; Poaceae.
UAUCGGGACAUCAGAGCACUAACCGCAGAAAGAGAUGAGAAGGGGGCUAGGAAGGUCUGACUACGGCCCUACAAACACCGAUCCGAACGAGGUGGAAUACGUCGACCGUUAGGGCUAUCACUACCCUAGGGCUACCACAACAAUCCGCAGGAUUGGGUGCAAUUCCAGGUAAUUGCAAGACUAAACACCACGUAUAAUCUAUUAAUUACUACUCUAAUGUUGCAAAGAUUAGAGCACUUGAUGCAAGCGGGAAUCCAAUAAAUAACUUGAAUGUAAAUAAAAGUAAUUAGAGAACUCAGGAUUAUGAAUUGAAGAACCUGGAGAACGAUGAAGAACGAACCAGUUGCUGCA